UUCAGAGACCUCAAGCGUUAUCCGGAAUCAUUGGGCGUAAAGCGUGCCGAUAGGUGGUUUAUUUAGUCUUGGGUAAAAGCCAGAAGCUCAACUUCUGAGUUUGCUUAAGAUACUAAUAAACUAGAGGGGCAAAUAGGUAACUGGAACGAACGGUGUAGUAGUGAAAUGCGUUGAUAUCGUUCGGAACACCGAAAGCGAAGGCAGGUUACUGGGUGCCUCCUGACACUGAUAGGACGAAAGCGUGGGUAGCGAAUGGG
RNAcentral lists this ribosomal RNA (257 nucleotides) under uncultured bacterium. RNAcentral's name for it is "partial 16S ribosomal RNA". It matches the Rfam family "Bacterial small subunit ribosomal RNA", at positions 524 to 776 of the family's 1533-position model. The record is from RNAcentral.